AAAGCUUUAAUGACUUGUUUUAAUUGGUGGGUUGCUUUAUUUAGAAGAAAAGAAAUGUAGAUAACGCACUUCCAGUAGCUCACUCAUGUAUGUUCCUUCUUUAUUAACAGUUGCUUCUUCAACUAAAAGCCUUUCCUUCUUGGCCAUUGCGCUUUUCUCACUAGCAGUCAUCACUGGCACUGCAUUAGUUGCUUACUGAUUGUAUUACGUGGAAGAUUUGCAAACCAUACCAUUUAUUGCGUGGUAAAGGACAUCUUGAGAAUUUCCUGCACUCAAAGAAUCUCUACUGGCUCAGCCUAAUGAUAUCAACAAAAGUGCUCCUCGUGUCUCAUUAACCACAAACCAACAACUGGACCUUCAAAGGGAUCCUUCUGGGAUCCUUUCUGAUAGCUGCUGUUGGACAAAUUCAUCAUUAGUUUAUAUUUGCACAUCGAUAACUAUAUAUAUAUAUCAUAAAUAUAAGAUAUAUAUAAGACUAUUGUAAAUUAAUAUUGAACAUGUUUUAUCAUUCUUAGUAUUACAGAGCAUAUAUAAUUAUGUGUGUGUCUCAUUGUCAGAGGGCAGUCUCAUUAGUUACCGAUUGUUGUUAAGGGGAUCUCCUUGCUCCUUGCUAGAAAUGUCAGUAGCUGCCUCUAAAUUGCAAAAUAUUGCAUUGCAAUUAGUUAAUACCUUUUCUAUAGAGCCAAUGUGUAAUUGCUUUUGCAAAUGCAUGAUGGAUGGAUGCUGUCUUGAAUAUACUUGUUUGUAUAGCUUUCUGUAGAAUGUUUUGACAAAUAAAUCUAUUACAAUUUCAUGUAAAA
Xenopus tropicalis (tropical clawed frog) is the source of this 800-nucleotide long non-coding RNA. RefSeq lists it as uncharacterized. The record is from RefSeq and is a predicted model, not a curated record. The transcript has 2 exons. Lineage: Eukaryota; Metazoa; Chordata; Amphibia; Anura; Pipidae.